Molecule: long non-coding RNA, 1808 nt
Organism: Vulpes vulpes (red fox)
Lineage: Eukaryota; Metazoa; Chordata; Mammalia; Carnivora; Canidae
Source: Ensembl
CUAGUAAAUAUUUCAAUCUUCUCAGUGCACUGAAAUGCGUCCCUAACAGCUAGCACAGAUUUUUGUAGGAGAGCAUGAAUAUGUUGUCCUUCGGUGAAGUUAGCGCGGACUGAAGUGGCUCCACCAGCUACGCUGUCAGCUGUCGCCUCUCACUACACAGGGAGGUUCAGUGGAAAGAUUUUUGGGUGUGUCUGCCCUGUUUCCAGCAAUUUCCUGAGGACGAUCUCUAAAGGAGUCACUGUUUUUAAUUACUCCACGCAAUGCUGUCAGUCUGCAUUUAUUGUUUUUCCCAGGCAGCCACAGCCAAAGAAACAUAUUUGAAGUUGUGUCUCCGUGUGCAUGGGACAUUUCCAGCUGUACCACACAAACUCAAGUGGCAGAUGCUUGGAUAGCCUGCAGCAGCCUCUCCCCAGCUCAUCAUUUCCCUGAAGUGAGCACCAGCACCAGCCCAAUAGACCAACUGUGUUUUAGAAUAUGAGGCCCAGCCUUGACAUUUCCAGUGAAGUAAAGUUGGAAGGGACGACUCAGCGUUGACUAUGAUGUAACGAGAUGCUUCACAGUCAUGCUGAAAGAUGAAAAAUAUUAUACCUCUGGAAGCCUGAGGUUUGGACUUCCUUGUACACAUGCAGAGGUGUCAGAGUUAUGUCAAGGGAGGUGUCCUAUUGUGGAUCCAAGAGGAGUGCCACACUUCCCUCUGCUCCUUCCAUCCUCCUCUGCUCUGAAGAAGAGAGCNAGGAGUGCCACACUUCCCUCUGCUCCUUCCAUCCUCCUCUGCUCUGAAGAAGAGGACAAGGGCCAUUUCCCAAAGGUCUUUCAUAACAUGGGGAAAGCUUCUUUCCCAGAAACCCCAAGCUGGUGUCUUCUCCCAUGUGCUGCCCUGAAUUAUGUCCCUUGCAUGCUCUUGAAAAAGGCCUUAGCUAAUUGGCUUAUCCCUGAGACAUUCACCAAGAUAAGAGGGAUAGGAUUGCUCUGAUUGGCUUAGACUUUACAAGCCUCACCCUCGGACUGGGGGUUGAUUCCUCAAGCUGCAUGCAUGUAACAUAAGAUGGACAGAGUGGAAGCCAUGUGGUGGAGUCAAUCGCAAAACAGGAGUCAGCCCAAAAGAGUCUUUGUAACUGGCCAUCCUCUAAUAACCAAAGUCACAUAAUUGGUACCAUUUGUAGCCUGUUAAAAUACUAGGCUUUAUUCACCAGAAAGCUUCUAUGAGAACUUAAGGAACCUGCUUAAUACUUUGAAAAUUUAUCCUGGGCUUUCCCUGGCAAUUAGAAUCCAUUUCAAAGAUAAGGAUUCCAUAGUACUCUGACUUUAGGUCAAUAACAAUGUCCUACUAUGAUGAGAGAAUGGAACUGUGUUUCUAGAGCGGGAGGAAGUUUGAGGAGUCUACACUGGAAACAAAAUCCCCUUAUCUCAUAGUUUUGGUGCCAUGAGAAGCAGAAUGAACCCAGAACAAGUGCUGAAGGGGUAAGGAAAGAAACAUAUGGAGAUGCCAAAUAUGUCAUUUACCAACUUUAUGUUUUCCCCCUACGGUUGGCUCACAGCCAUGUUUAUGGAAAAUGAACAGUAAUUGACGCUAACCAUGGUUCCCUCUUGUGACAUGGUCUCUGGGUUGGAUUAUCUCUCUUGAGUAUUUAAUCAUUUAAGUAAUGGUCACAAUCUAAUUCAUAAACACUCUUUCAAGAUGAAUUUAAUUCCUCUGCAGCCUCCAAAUGAUAAGACAGAAGAAAGUGGGGGGCGAGGGAAAGGGUGAAGUGAUCCCUAAAGUACCCUUCUGCAAAGGAAAUGAAAUAAAUGGCAUCCAUAUGCUUCCA